Molecule: ribosomal RNA, 245 nt
Filed under: uncultured bacterium
Lineage: Bacteria
Description: partial 16S ribosomal RNA
Rfam family: Bacterial small subunit ribosomal RNA
Source: RNAcentral
UACGGAGGGUGCAAGCGUUAAUCGGAAUUACUGGGCGUAAAGCGUGCGUAGGCGGUUCGUUAAGUCAGAUGUGAAAGCCCCGGGCUCAACCUGGGAACUGCAUUUGAAACUGGCGGACUAGAGUUUAGUAGAGGGGAGUGGAAUUUCAGGUGUAGCGGUGAAAUGCGUAGAUAUCUGAAGGAACACCAGUGGCGAAGGCGACUCCCUGGACUAAAACUGACGCUGAGGUACGAAAGCGUGGGUAG